ACAUUUUGCAUUAUGAAAUUGUUUCCAACAAAUAUCUUAAAUUUUUGUUACACUAAAAGUUUGUCGUAUAUCAGAAACUUUUUAUAAAACAUGGAGUUUCUUUUUAGGUAGAAUUGCGAAGGUAUUGGAAGGUUCUAUAGUGCAUCUAUCGACACCUUAUCGACUUGCUUCACAUACAAUUCAAGCAGAAAGAACAUUCACCUGUUAAAAGAUAUACGAUAGUAUCAUAUUAUGCUGACCCUAUUUCCACGCUAGAAAUUCUUUUGGUUAACCAUCCAGUCGAAAUAUGAUACGUACUUUGCUUCGAUUGCUGACAGUCGCUGAAAUGCCAAUAGUUUCACCAGAAAUUGUGUCGCGCAAUGUCAGAAACCUUGAACUCGAUAAAACAAGAUGGAGGAGUGGAGAACAGACACUGACAGUCUUUGCAUUAUUCUGCAAGUAUUUUAUAUGAAAUAAUGCACUGUACUGUUGUUAUAUCUUGUAAUACAGUCUUCGUUAUUAUUUAAAUUACCGUAAAUAUUCCUUGUUUUCCUUUUUUUAUUUAAUCACAGUGUUUUAUUACUAAACGUGCAGAAGUUGGAAUUUCAUCAAGGAACUGUUUCAAGACACUGAAUGAAGAUUACUUUAAUUACUAAUAAGCCACCUUAAAUUAUAAAGCCAAUACAAUGUAGAUUGUCAUUUUAUAAGUUUUAGUUAAAAAAUGACUUAUUAAUGAAACGUUAAGAAGUAUUGGUUUGAAUAAAAGAACAGUAGAAGUACUACAAGACAAAUUUUCAUGACAAAUGAUUGGAAAGAACGUGUACUGAAAUUUUGAUGCAGGAAACGAAAGAAAGUAACAUAAUUUCCGUGGACCAUGGGUCAUGAUCGCUUUCUACACAGGUCGUUGACCAUUAUCCAGAACUUGGUUAUAAAACGCUCGAAGAAGCAAGAAUCUGUUAAUAUGCAAGAAAGAAUACGUGCGUGUAAAAACGUCACUUUUUUCAGACGUUACAGAACAUUGCGAUCAAAUCGAUGGGGUUCAUCACGAUGAAGACUUGUUGAUUCUUAUGAGUCAAGCCACCGGGUUCACGAAGCGCAGCCUUGC
Molecule: long non-coding RNA, 1084 nt
Organism: Megachile rotundata (alfalfa leafcutting bee)
Lineage: Eukaryota; Metazoa; Arthropoda; Insecta; Hymenoptera; Megachilidae
Source: RefSeq, a predicted model, not a curated record